This 497-nucleotide ribosomal RNA is filed under the name uncultured bacterium. RNAcentral describes it as "partial 16S ribosomal RNA". It matches the Rfam family "Bacterial small subunit ribosomal RNA", at positions 28 to 507 of the family's 1533-position model. The record is from RNAcentral.
GAUGAACGCUGGCGGCGUGCCUAAUACAUGCCAGUCGAGCGAACGGACGAGAAGCUUGCUUCUCUGAUGUUAGCGGCGGACGGGUGAGUAACACGUGGAUAACCUACCUAUAAGACUGGGAUAACUUCGGGAAACCGGAGCUAAUACCGGAUAAUAUUUUGAACCGCAUGGUUCAAAAGUGAAAGACGGUCUUGCUGUCACUUAUAGAUGGAUCCGCGCUGCAUUAGCUAGUUGGUAAGGUAACGGCUUACCAAGGCAACGAUGCAUAGCCGACCUGAGAGGGUGAUCGGCCACACUGGAACUGAGACACGGACCAGACUCCUACGGGAGGCAGCAGUAGGGAAUCUUCCGCAAUGGGCGAAAGCCUGACGGAGCAACGCCGCGUGAGUGAUGAAGGUCUUCGGAUCGUAAAACUCUGUUAUUAGGGAAGAACAUAUGUGUAAGUAACUGUGCACAUCUUGACGGUACCUAAUCAGAAAGCCACGGCUAACUACGUG